Molecule: RNA transcript, 2166 nt
Organism: Cavia porcellus (domestic guinea pig)
Lineage: Eukaryota; Metazoa; Chordata; Mammalia; Rodentia; Caviidae
Gene: Tcn2
Gene name: transcobalamin 2
Exons: 11
Source: RefSeq, a predicted model, not a curated record
GACUGAGAACAGCUGACUCCAGAGCUCUUGCUCACGUGAUCUCUGUGGGUCCCCGUUAUGCUUCUUGUCCCCAGCCAGGGUGAGCACUUUCAGGGCCGCUUCUGUGAGGAGCAGCAGGUAGGCGCCUCCGUUCUGAAGGUCCACCAUCCGAACUGCUGGAGGGGACAUCGGACAGGCAGCCAAAUGAACGUGGCAAAUCAGCAGCACACUGGAGGGGAGAGGAGAGAUUAAUCAGUGACAGGAAGCUGCGUCUUGUUCAGAGCGGUGACCUGCUGUAGUCAGACAAAUCUUUGCAAGCCGGCCCCAGGAGUUUCUCCCACUUCCCGCCUGCUGCUCAUCCACCUGCUUCUGCCAUGAGGAGCCUUAGGGCCUUCCUCUUCCUAUUGGGGGUCCUGGGGGCUUUUGCCGACUUCUGUGUCAUACCACAGUUGGAUAGUCAGCUGGUGGAGAGGCUUGGCCAACAGCUGUUGCCCUGGAUGGACCAGCUCUCCAGGGAGCACCUGAACCCCAGCAUCUAUGUGGGCCUGCGCCUCUCCAGCCUGCAGGCUGGGACCAAGGAAGAUCUGUACCUGCACAGCCUCAAGCUUAGUUAUCAACGGUGCCUCCUGAGGCCUGCUACCAGCGAUGACAACAGUGACUGCCCAACCAAGCCUUCCAUGGGUCAGCUGGCCCUCUACAUGCUCGCUCUCAGGGCUAACUGCGAGUUCAUCAGGGGCCACAAGGGGGACAGGCUGGUCUCACAGCUCAAGUGGUUCUUGGAGGAUGAGAAUGGUGCCAUUGGGCACAAUCACAAAGGCCAUCCCCAUACCAGCUACUACCAGUAUGGCCUCAGCAUCCUGGCCCUGUGUGUCCACCAGAAGCUGGUUCGUGACGGCAUUGUAGGCAAGCUCCUGUAUGCUGUGGAACACGACCACCAGGACCAUCUCUCUGUGGACACAGUGGCCAUGGCAGGCUUGGCCUUUAUCUGCCUUGAGCGCUCUUCCUUCAACCCUGAUCUGAGACAGCGGAUCUCCACGGCUAUUGGGACAGUGCAGGAGAAGAUCCUGAAGGCCCAAACCCCUGAGGGCUACUUUGGGAAUGUCUACAGCACCCCACUGGCACUGCAGUUGCUGGUGUCUUCCCCCAUGUCUCGGGUGGAUCUGGGCACCGCAUGCCUUAAGGCAAGGGCAGCUCUGCUGGUCAACCUGCAGGAUAAAGCCUUACAGAAUCCUAUCAUAAUUUCCCAGCUGUUGCCUGUCUUGAACCACAAGACCUAUGUGAAUCUCAUCUUUCCAGACUGCCAAGCGCCAAGAGGGCUGCUGGGAGCAGCUCCUGAGGACUCCUCCUUGAUCCACGUCCCAGAGGUCAUCAGUGUAACACUGAAGGUCUCCAGCGUCUUGCCGCCCUACGAACAAACCAUCUCAGUGCUGGCCAAGUCCUCCUUGGAAGACAUUCUGAAGAAGGCCCAGGAGCUAGGGAAAUUCACGUGGGCGACUGCACUGAGUUCAGGAGCUACGUGGGAAGGACGUAUGGAACUCAGGCCUCCUUGUCUGGUCCCUUCCUGACCUCUGUGAUGGGGAAAGUACCUGGGGACCGAGAGUUCUGGCAGCUCCUCCGAGCUCCUGACACCCCUUUGCUGCAAGGUAUUGCUGAAUACAAACCACAGAAUGGAGAAACCAUCGAAAUAAGACUGGCUAGCUGGUAGCCAUGGGUCUUCUCACCCUAGCAGUCUCGCACACUCCCUGGGCUUCUGUCCCCUUCCUGACCCUGUAGUCGCCUCCUAGACUCUGGAGCAAUGUCCCAGAACACCUCAUCUACCACCUCUGCGAGGAUCUAAACCACAGCUCACACUGGAGCAGGGAGCCAAGCACCUCCCCUGGGAAGCCUGGCCCUGCAGGUGUCAUGAAGUCUGCCCCAAGGUCUGAAGGACCUGUGACUCUCCUCUCAGACUCCUCAGCAGAAGGAGGAGAGGAAGUCUGUCUGCUGCAGCAUCAUGAGUACCACUGCUCGGGGACUGAGCUCCUGCAAGGGGCCUCCAUGCCCCAGGGACUGCAGCCCUGACCCAAGGUCUCCACUCUGUUGUCACCAUAGUGGCCCUAGAGCUGGUUGUAGUUGCAGUGGCUGGUGAGGCCUCAGCAGGGUUGCUUGAUGCCUACUUCUGAAAUGAUUAAAGUCUUAAUUAUCUGA